UACGUGAGGGGCGAACGUUGUUCGGGGUCACUGGGCUUAAAGGGCGCGUAGGUGGCUGCGUAAGGAAGGUGUGAAAGCCCUCGGCUUACCCGGGGAAUUGCGCCUUAUACUGCGUGGCUUGAGGAUCUCAGGGGAAGGGGGUACUCCGAGUGUAGCGGUGAAAUGCGCAGAUAUUCGGGGGAAGGCCGGUGGCGAAGGCGCCCUUCUGGGAGAUUCCUGACACUGAGGCGCGAAAGCGUGGGGAGCAAACAGG
RNAcentral lists this ribosomal RNA (253 nucleotides) under uncultured bacterium. RNAcentral describes it as "partial 16S ribosomal RNA". It matches the Rfam family "Bacterial small subunit ribosomal RNA", at positions 524 to 776 of the family's 1533-position model. The record is from RNAcentral.